AUUAUAAUAAUUUUUAUUAAAUUGUUCAUAGCCCACAAUUAUUUUUUAAAUUUAUCGACCAUGUCAACAACUUAGGACUUAAAAACCAUGUAAUAACAUCUUGGGUAAAUUUUAGGUUACACUAAUUUUUUAAACGUCAAAAUUUGGCCAUAAAUAACUUGUUGAACAUAUUUAUUUUCUUAGUGUAUAAAUGUAAUUAUUUUGAUGGGAAAUGUGGCACCUUCUUAUGGUUAAUUAUACUAAGAAGCCACAUUUUCUGAAUAUCAAAUCAGCUUGCCCAUUGUGACUGCAAGUCGGCAGAUGUUUGAAGACUACGUUCAGUCUGAAGCUUAUCAAGCAGUUAAUGAUUUUUUGUUAAAUUAAGUAAUCAUAAGUUUUCUCAGGGUUUUUACCUUUCCUCUGUAGUUGUAUGAUUCAUAUUUUUCAUGGUUUUGACAAUUUUGAACAUCGUAGAAAAUGUAGGCAUAUUAUGUACCAUUCAUGUGGUGAUUUAUUUGAUCAUAUUUUGUCAUCAUAUCAAAACCAUGUUGCCAUGAUUAUAAUUUUUGUAAUAUGUAGUCCAGCUUGUUCCCUUAAUUUAGUUGUUGUUGAUGCAAUGGAGCCUAUUUUUCACUGAUUCGUUGUUUCUGGGUAAGCAUUUUUAAUAUUUUGACCAGCUAAAUAUGGAUAUGUCCAUUUGUAAACUGGAAGAGGGAAUACUUUACUAUAAAUAUAAAGGCUUACUAGCUUCUAAAAGAGAAGAAAUUAUUCCACCAACUCACAGCUUCAAAGCAAGGCUUGUUUUCAAUAUUUUGUCCGCUUAAACGUUUCACAACUGUAUCAAUGAUAUUGUUGACUGUUUCCCAGGCUGAGAAUGAUUUCACAGAAAGACUGGGUUUCAGUGUUUGCUUUAGAGACACUUAGAAUUGUUUACAUGAAGUACUAUGUUGUGGUUUCUAGAUAGUGGGGAAAAAACUAAAAAUUGAACUCUUUUCUGUCCCUGUAGAAAAUGAUUGGACUGAAUUUUGAGAGUUCCAAGCCUCAGGAGGUGAUCAACUCAGCUUGUCGUAGAGUGUUGAAAAGAAAGAGGCCAAGCUCUGGCAAAUGGCAGUCUUUGGAGGAUCGUCUUCUGGAUUGUUACAUAGAAUCAUGCGAAGGGGCUCCUAAAGACAAGGUACUAAUUGGCUAAUUAUUUACAACUAAUAAAAACCUUUCAUUGUUUCUAAAGGGUGUGAUUUUAUUCUACACAAUAACUUUCAACAUGUUUCUGAGAGGGACACUUUCUUGAAUGGAUAUUCAAGUAACUUUUUGUUAAGAAGCGUUGGUCUCCACAUAU
Orbicella faveolata is the source of this 1315-nucleotide long non-coding RNA. The record is from RefSeq and is a predicted model, not a curated record. NCBI's taxonomy places the organism in Eukaryota, Metazoa, Cnidaria, Anthozoa, Scleractinia, Merulinidae.